GGGAGUAUGGUCGCAAGGCUGAAACUUAAAGGAAUUGACGGAAGGGCACCACCAGGAGUGGAGCCUGCGGCUUAAUUUGACUCAACACGGGGAAACUUACCAGGUCCAGACAUAGUAAGGAUUGACAGACUGAGAGCUCUUUCGAUGAAUGGAGAUGUAAAUAGAAGCAAGAAAGGUGUACAUGUGUACGCGGGCAUACCCCGGAGAUGGUGCCCACUCGACCCUCAUCGAUUGGGUGAAGUGGGCUAUAAAAACACUAUUGUAGUCACUGCUAGGGAGGAUUCUCCUCCCAAGCCUAAGACUACUAAAUAUAUUACAUAUUAACAAACCAAAAAUAAAACAUCAAAAACAUUGAAGCACAACUACAGUGUCACGAAAGCACACGCUGCUUCCCGGUCAACGCGGUCAAAGGUCCACGUCAUCCAGUCAACAGCCUUGUCA
Molecule: non-coding RNA, 441 nt
Filed under: Ipomoea nil (Japanese morning glory)
Lineage: Eukaryota; Viridiplantae; Streptophyta; Magnoliopsida; Solanales; Convolvulaceae
Description: Eukaryotic small subunit ribosomal RNA
Rfam family: Eukaryotic small subunit ribosomal RNA
Source: Rfam by way of RNAcentral